Molecule: transfer RNA, 61 nt
Filed under: Nippotaenia mogurndae
Lineage: Eukaryota; Metazoa; Platyhelminthes; Cestoda; Nippotaeniidea; Nippotaeniidae
Description: tRNA-Gln
Source: RNAcentral
UUUAAUAUGGUGUACAGCAUUCUGCAUUUUGGUUGCAGCGGGGGUUUGUAACCUGUUAAAU